AGAGUUUGAUCCUGGCUCAGAAUCAACGCUGGCGGCGUGCCUCAGACAUGCAAGUCGAACGCGAAGGGUUUCUUCGGAAGCCCAGAGAGUGGCGCACGGGUGAGUAACACGUAGGCAAUCUACCUUUGAGUGGGGAAUAACUUGGGGAAACUCAAGCUAAUACCGCAUAACACCGCAAGGUCAAAGCUUUAUGCGCUCGAAGAGGAGCCUGCGGCAGAUUAGCUAGUUGGUAAGGUAACGGCUUACCAAGGCCAUGAUCUGUAUCCGGUCCAAGAGGACGGUCGGACACACUGACACUGAAUAUACGGGUCAGACUCCUACGGGAGGCAGCAGUCGGGAAUUUUGGGCAAUGGGCGCAAGCCUGACCCAGCAACGCCGCGUGAAGGAAGAAGUCUUUCGGGAUGUAAACUUCGUAAAUAUAGGAAGAAACAAAUGACGGUACUAUAUGUAAGCCCCGGCUAACUCCGUGCCAGCAGCCGCGGUAAUACGGAGGGGGCAAGCGUUGUUCGGAUUUACUGGGCGUAAAGGGCGCGUAGGCGGUUUUGUAAGUUACUUGUGAAAUCUAUGAGCUUAACUCAUAGCGGCCAAGUAAUACUGCGAGACUCGAGUGCAGAAGGGGCAACUGGAAUUCUUGGUGUAGCGGUGAAAUGCGUAGAUAUCAAGAGGAACACCUGAGGCGAAGGCGGGUUGCUGGGCUGACACUGACGCUGAGGCGCGAAAGCUAGGGGAGCAAACAGGAUUAGAUACCCUGGUAGUCCUAGCCUUAAACGAUGGAUGCUUGGUGUCUGGAAUUUUCCUCUCCGGCUGCCGCCGAUAUCACUGUUUACAUGCCCCCUGUGGAGAACACAGGCGCGUGGGUAACUCUCAGGAGUUGUGAGGGACCCCCGCAAGCGCGGGAGAAUGUGGUUAUUUUUUCCAUGCCGCGAAAAAACUUUUAUGGACUAUUGACAUGAGGAAGAUUACCCUGUAAACAUGUGCCCCGCUUGCGGACCCAUUACAAGGGGCUGAUGGUUUGUCUCCAGUUCUGGUCGGGGAAUGUUGGUUUAAUCCCCGCACCAAGCGCACCCUUUAUCUAUGUUUGCUAACCGGUAUGGCUGAGAAUUCUGUUAAAACGGCCGUUGCAACUCCGAAGAAAGUUGGGAAUAACUCCAAUCACUCUGGCCCUUAUGGCUUGGGCUUCCCGCCUGGUUACAUGGCACGUACCAAACUGUGCCAUACUGUGAAGUGGAACUAAACCCAAAAAGCCCGUUUUCAUUCCGAAUGGGAUCUGGCACUUCAACUCAUGAAAUCUGAGAUCGCUAGUAUUCGCAAAUCAGCACGCUGCGGUGAAUACGUU
RNAcentral lists this ribosomal RNA (1336 nucleotides) under uncultured bacterium. Its description in RNAcentral is "partial 16S rRNA". It matches the Rfam family "Bacterial small subunit ribosomal RNA", at positions 8 to 1372 of the family's 1533-position model. The record is from RNAcentral.